GAUGAACGCUAGCGGGAGGCUUAAUACAUGCAAGUCGAGGGGUAGAUAGUCUUCGGAUUAUCGAGACCGGCGCACGGGUGCAUAACGCGUACACAACAUGCCUUAUACUGGGGUAUAGCUUCGGGAAACUGAUGGUAAUCCCCCAUGACAUUGCGGAAUCGCAUGGUUCUGCAAUUAAAGUUCAGGCGGUAUAAGAUUGGUGUGCGUUUUGAUUAGGUAGUUGGUAGGGUAACGGCCUACCAAGCCGACGAUCAAUAGCUGGCGUGAGAGCGCGACCAGCCACACUGGAACUGAGACACGGUCCAGACUCCUACGGGAGGCAGCAGUAGGGAAUAUUGGACAAUGGGCGAAAGCCUGAUCCAGCCAUCCCGCGUGGUAGAUGAAGGCCCUCUGGGUUGUAAAUACCUUUUGCAAGGGAAGAAAUCGCAUGGGUUAAUACCCUGUGUGGAUGACGGUACCGGAAUAAGAAGCACCGGCUAACUACGUGCCAGCAGCCGCGGUAAU
RNAcentral lists this ribosomal RNA (504 nucleotides) under uncultured bacterium. RNAcentral describes it as "bacterial SSU rRNA". It matches the Rfam family "Bacterial small subunit ribosomal RNA", at positions 28 to 524 of the family's 1533-position model. The record is from RNAcentral.